Molecule: non-coding RNA, 113 nt
Organism: Acanthosepion pharaonis
Lineage: Eukaryota; Metazoa; Mollusca; Cephalopoda; Sepiida; Sepiidae
Source: the annotation of a GenBank genome assembly
UUUCGGCCACAUCACGUUGGAACACCGGUUCCCGUACGAUCAGCGAGGUCAAGCAACGGCGAUCUUGUUCAGUACUUAGCUGGUGAAUCGCUAGGGAAUAUCAGGAGCUGUAA